Molecule: ribosomal RNA, 253 nt
Filed under: uncultured bacterium
Lineage: Bacteria
Description: partial 16S ribosomal RNA
Rfam family: Bacterial small subunit ribosomal RNA
Source: RNAcentral
GACGAACCGUGCAAACGUUGUUCGGAAUCACUGGGCUUAAAGGGCGCGUAGGCGGGCAAGCAAGUCGAAGGUGAAAUCCCACGGCUCAACCGUGGAAGUGCCCCCGAUACUGCUUGUCUUGAGGGAGAUAGGGGCGUGCGGAACUUCCGGUGGAGCGGUGAAAUGCGUAGAUAUCGGGAGGAACACCAGUGGCGAAGGCGGCGAUCUGGGAAGAUACUGACGCUGAGGUGCGAAAGCGUGGGGAGCAAACAGG